GACGAACGCUGGCGGCGUGCUUAACACAUGCAAGUCGAACGGAAAGGCCCUGCUUUUGUGGGGUGCUCGAGUGGCGAACGGGUGAGUAACACGUGAGUAACCUGCCCUUGACUUUGGGAUAACUUCAGGAAACUGGGGCUAAUACCGGAUAGGAGCUCCUGCUGCAUGGUGGGGGUUGGAAAGUUUCGGCGGUUGGGGAUGGACUCGCGGCUUAUCAGCUGGUUGGUGGGGUAGUGGCUUACCAAGGCUUUGACGGGUAGCCGGCCUGAGAGGGUGACCGGCCACAUGGGGACUGCGAUACGCCCCAGACUCCUACGGGAGGCAGCAGUGGGGAAUAUUGCACAAUGGGCGGAAGCCUGAUGCAGCAGCGCCGCGUGCGGGAUGACGGCCUUCGGGUUGUAAACCGCUUUCGCCUGUGACGAAGCGUGAGUGACGGUAAUGGGUAAAGAAGCACCGGCUAACUACGUG
RNAcentral lists this ribosomal RNA (468 nucleotides) under uncultured bacterium. RNAcentral describes it as "partial 16S ribosomal RNA". It matches the Rfam family "Bacterial small subunit ribosomal RNA", at positions 28 to 507 of the family's 1533-position model. The record is from RNAcentral.